AUUGGGAUUUGUUUUGUGUUGCCUACUUUUUUUAUUGAGAAAUCUAAAUAAACACGAGUGGUUAAACGUGUUGUCAUAGAAAAUUCAAGUGAGAUCACGGAAAAGAAAAUAUUUUCACUGUGAAAAUGUCACACUAGACGCACGCAUCCAUGCAUAAAAGAGCAGUCAUGCGCACGCGCGUAAAACACACACACACACAUUUACACACACACACAAACGCACGCGCACUCUUCUCUGGGCAUUUCAUACCUCCCUGUUUUAAUUUGUGUUCACUCUCUAGUGUCACGCACCUAGGGAAGGCUCCGGUGCGUCCCAAAUGGCAGACCUCCCCCUAUCUAGUGCACUUCUUUUUUAACCGGGACUGUGAGGAAUGGGUGUCAUUUGUUACACAGCACACACGUUGGCUCUUGGGUAGAGAGGUAGCGAGAGAAAAGGGGGAAGAGAGGGAGGAAGGGAGAGAGGAAAAACACAAUUUGCAUUUUAUACAGCUCCAACUAUAUAAAGCCACUUCCUAGAUGAGGCCAAAGAUACAGUCUGACUAUAAAAAUAAUAAUAAAAUUGCUAUUCUAUAUUGCAUGCAACAAAAAUAGAAUUUAUAGUACUGUACUACCCAUGCACACAGCACAACCCUGGGUCUACUUAAGUCCUUGCUACCUCCCAACACAAACACAAUGUGCUUGAAGACAAAUUACCCAGAAUGCCCUCCGGCCUACCUCCCUGUUCGUUACUGUACAUUGGAACUUUGACGUUUUGUGUGUGUAGAUGGACGUGCACACGCUUGCGUGCACUUUCUCUGUCUCUCUCUCACACACUCUCACACUCACUCUCACACACUCACUCUUCCUACAAGCCAAUGCGUUUUGUGUGUCCUAUGAUCAAAAUGCUGUAGGGGCUCUUGAAGCGGGCCGUGCAUGCAAGAAAGCCCACCCGACAUGACACAGAUGACGAGUGGGCAAAACGUCGUCCCAGGCAUCGUAAGAGACCGAUAGACAGUUACAAUGUAAGAGACCGAUAGACAGUUACAAUGCAAGAGACCGAUAGACAGUUACAAUGCAAGAGACCGAUAGACAGUUACAAUGCAAGAGACCGAUAGACAGUUACAAUGCAAGAGACCGAUAGACAGUUACAAUGUAAGAGACCGAUAGACAGUUACAAUUCCACAGAUUAACCCCGGAUUCAUCUCAAUAAUGAGUUUCUGGGGAUCAGGAAACAGGACCUGCUAUGUAACAUCAGCCACGCGGUGUAAUUAAGUUCUCUUUUCUUUUUAAUGCUCUCUUAUUGAAAUCCCGGCAAACAAAGUGUUGAAUUGUGCCGGGCAUUAUUUCCUCAUGAAACACAAAGCCAUUUGAACAGGGGUCUGUGUUCUAACCUGGGGGCUGUCCAGCUGGAAAGCAGCGGAGUGUGUUAGAGUGUGUAAGAGUGUGUAAGAGUGUGUUAGAGUGUGUAAGAGUGUGUAAGAGUGUGUGAGCUGCACUGUACGGGGAUUUGGAAGAGAGGUCACAGAGCUGUGGGUUGGGUCUGUCUGUCUCACACACAUGCUGUGAUGUCCAAGAACUGUCACGCCCUUCACUUUCUGGCAUAUCUGAAUGUGCCCGCGGAGCAUCCUGGAGUCGGAAGGCAAAUAACAACAUACAAAAGCUAUUUUUGCUCUGCCUUGAUUUCAAGUGAAAUGUUCCAUUAAAUUAGUGCUCCCAUCAACGGGUUAGUCACGACUAUUUCAGGCUUUGAAACUUUGGAGCUCUGCAUAAUUAAAUUAGCCCGAGUCGCAAACUUUAGCCGAGGCAUGCGGACAGGUGGGUGGAGGUGAAGAGAGAAACUGGGAGAAAGAGAGAGAGAAACCGGGAUAGAGAGACAGACGCAGAGACGAGGAGACAGAUGAAAGGAGACAGAGAGAGAUAAGGAGAGAUAGGCGUUCAUGUGGUUUUGGUGCAUCACCACCAAAACCUGUCUUCGUUUGGCUUCACCACAGUGUGGUUGGUGGUUGAGUUUGAGCUGGGAGGGCGACCGGGGUAGGACUGAUAAGGACCCACAAACGCAAUGUAUCUCAGAGUGUUGAUCGAAAACAGGUUGGGCCUUUCAGAUCAUACAGCCUAGUUCCAUAUGUUGUGUGGUCUUAUCAAUAGGAACACUAAAGUCAGGUGACUGUCGCCAAAUCCCAAAGAUCGGAGUCUGGAUUGAGUAUCUGGACUACAUUAAAUCUGCAAACACUCAUUUUGUGGACUCUUUUUUGCACACAGACACACACACGCAGAACAAUACAGUUACAGGAUUAUAUUCCACUCUUUUCACUUGAAUAUGACCAAAAAAACACACUCAGGUCUGAAGAUGUCAGGAUUGUGUUUUUCUGAGAAGCAUCCAGCUGCAGAUUAAACACACUGAGGCCUCCUGGCCUGCAAAUCUCAAAAGCCCUUUCCUGGUGCUUAGGAUAAAGUCACCCCCUGUUGGCCAUGGUUGGUAAUGCACAUUCAUGUGCAAUGAAUUACCUCAAAGGGACAAGUGUGGGAUGAAUUCCUUUUCAAUUCUCGCCACCUCAGAUAGGUAUUCUAGUUACAGUUCCACAUUCUCCCCAUUUCAAAUUACUGGAUAGAACUGAGAUUAAAAUCAGAAUUUUAAUACACUGGAAGUGAAAAUAAAUGGACACUAAUUUAACUACAUUGAAUUUGCAUCUAUGUUUCCAUCUUAGCAAAAGUGAUAAUAAUAAUGUGAAAAUAGGAUCCGACUAUAAAUACUGUUGUGGUCGAGGGUCAAGUGGACAUUGACUAUUUUUAAAUAGGUGUGAUGGAUGUAAUCUGAAUUUGUUCUUCCAUUCCAUUGUUGCCGAAGGGAGAUUACAUCAUCUGAAUUUACACUUCACCCAGGGGCAGAUCCAUGGGCUGUACAUAUUAAUCCAGUCACAACGAAAAUGUAAAGGGCGAAUGAAAAGAAACGUUUCUUAUUGGACGAGGUCAAGGUAUCACUCCCUGUUUUCAUUCGCCCGCCCGCCUUCUGUUUGGCGCCUUGUGAAAACGACCCAGGAUUAAGCCUUUUCUGCUUGGACUUGUUACUUUGCUCCGAUGACAUCACCCCCAGGGCUUUUAAGCCAGGCUUGCCUAUUGAUUUAGCAGUCUGUAGUGUACUUAUCCUCCUGUCACUCCACCAUCCUAAACCUGGGCACAAACAGAAGAAGAAAUCUUUCAGUGUUGGGUGACUGCCUGGAAAUACCAGAAUGGGCAAGGUUUGCAUGUUCAAAAUCAUUCCAUUGGUUCUACUGCACCUAGAAUGCUUAUUCAACCCCCC
Long non-coding RNA from Esox lucius (northern pike), 3276 nucleotides. The record is from Ensembl. Lineage: Eukaryota; Metazoa; Chordata; Actinopteri; Esociformes; Esocidae.